UACGUAGGACCCAAGCGUUAUCCGGAAUUACUGGGCGUAAAGAGUUGCGUAGUUGGUUUGUUAAGUGAAUAGUGAAAUCGUGCGGCUCAACCGUAUAUCCAUUAUUUAAACUGGCAGACUUGAGUAUGGUAGAGGUCACUGGAAUUCCAAGUGUAGGAGUGAAAUCCGUAGAUAUUUGGAGGAACACCGAUGGCGUAGGCAGGUGACUGGACCAUAACUGACACUGAGGCACGAAAGCGUGGGGAGCAAACGGG
Molecule: ribosomal RNA, 254 nt
Filed under: uncultured bacterium
Lineage: Bacteria
Description: partial 16S ribosomal RNA
Rfam family: Bacterial small subunit ribosomal RNA
Source: RNAcentral